This is a long non-coding RNA of Cygnus olor (mute swan), 799 nucleotides long. RefSeq lists it as uncharacterized. The transcript has 5 exons. The record is from RefSeq and is a predicted model, not a curated record. Lineage: Eukaryota; Metazoa; Chordata; Aves; Anseriformes; Anatidae.
CCCCGCAGGCCUGCGGGGCGCUUCCAGGCCCGCCCGCAGGCACAGGCCACGUUUGGAGCUGAGCCCGGAGCAACUCGGUGGAAGCUUCUCCUUCUGGGGCCAGGUCACGGCCAGCAGCAGCCGCACCGCUGCCGGUGGGCAAAUCUGCCUGUGCCGACAGCGUCAUGGUAUUUCUGCAUCACGAUCAGCUUGUGAUUGGUUUUAGUCCCCAAGGCCUGUUCUGCACUACUGCUGAUUCCCUACCACAGAUCCACACAGGUCGUAUAAAAACUGUGGAUAACCUGAGCUGGAGCUGUCAUACCUGAUUCACUUGAUGUAUUCAUUUUAUAUGGCAAUUAUGCCAAUUUAAUUUUUGAAGAGAAGGUAUGUGUACCUAGCACGGAAGCAUGGCCUGGUUUCCUUCUGAUGAAGUUACUGGGAAAAGAACAACAGGGGAGAUUUCCGUGUGUAUUGUGAACAGAGGCUCCAAUCAGCAUGUGGUGAUAUAUAGAGCUGUAACACAGAGGAGGUCUACGCACCCACAACAAGAGUAGCGUCCAUUCAGAUGUGCCAGAAAUGCAAGGAUCAUCCUACACUCUUUCUCUCACUUUCACUGACAUUUUCUCUUCUUUUCAUUCUUGUCAUUUUCCUUUUCUCUUAAUCUGAAAGAUUUCAAAGGAAAAAUUUGUGUUCUGCCAUUUGCACGUGACCUUACGUGAACUUUAACAGACUUCAAGGAGGUGGUGAGGGGAAUAUAAACACAUAUGCAUUCUAAUCUGCUCAGCUCUUCAAUUAAAAAUUUAUAGGUGAAAUCUGCCUG